Molecule: long non-coding RNA, 1030 nt
Filed under: Triticum aestivum (bread wheat)
Lineage: Eukaryota; Viridiplantae; Streptophyta; Magnoliopsida; Poales; Poaceae
Description: long non-coding RNA (TAES_LNC023613)
Source: RNAcentral
GCACGUGCAGCAGAAAGUGAAUAGUGGAUGGAAAGGCCACCUCACUGGGAACCAGGGCCACGACUUGUAGUGGGCAAUUGGUGGUGAAUGGAAGGCUACCUGGCCGGAUACCUCAACUACUAGGUACAUUUUUUGUUUCAGUAGUAAUUUAGCUCACAUGCUAUUGCAUAAGAACAGUUUCUAAAAAUGUCACUUUACAAGGUUGCUGGCCUACGUGUUAUCACUAAAUUGCGUGUGUAUAUAUGUGUCAUGGUUUCCUUUUUUAUCCAUGGUUAUGUAGCUCUUAAUCAUGAAAAUCUAGAGAGGUUGCGAAAGAGGUUGUCUUUCUCUCUUCAGUGAAUGCUUACGUAAUAGGCUAUAAAAUAAGCUACUAGGUUGUAGGAUCUAUUUCAGAUGGUCAAUGCCUUCAUUGUUGAUAAAACUGCAAGCACGGGAACAUAAUUCUAUACAGUACCAUGUGAGCCAAUUAUAACUUUUGUAGAAACUAUAUUGUUAACUAUGAUAUCAUGAUGAUUUAUUGAUCAAAUCUGUGUUAAUCCGGAUAUGAGCUUUGAACAACUUGACCUGAUUCCAUUUUCUUGACAAAAUUUUGUGAAAAAAUUUCAGGCACUUAGCCACCUGGUGCACAUGGACGUCAUGACUUUGCAGCGUUUAUGGACCAACCAACUUGUAAUCAUGGAUCUGAUGUCUUCUAGACCAUUUGGUGCUUCGGGUAUUUCGGAGCUUGCACUUUGUGCAUGUGGAUACAGACUUCUGUGUCCUGGACCAUCUAGUUGAAGUCUCUCAUACCAGCAAAUAGUGCUCAACUUUUUGUGACUCGUGUAUUCUGGGUGAUUGUUAAGAUGGUGAAAACUAUGCUGUGUCAAGAUUGAUGUGUUUGUCAACUUGUGUUCAAUGUAUAUGCAUGUUUGUGAACAUAUUUUCAUUGUUGUACAAUAUGUGUUCAUCUUGAACCUGCUUGUGGAUGUGAGGAUAGUAAUUGAAUCUGUUUAGAGCUUGUAUAUAUAGAUAAUAACUGAAUCUGUUUAUA